AUUGAACGCUGGCGGCAUGCCUUACACAUGCAAGUCGAACGGCAGCACGGGUGCUUGCACCUGGUGGCGAGUGGCGAACGGGUGAGUAAUACAUCGGAACAUGUCCUGUAGUGGGGGAUAGCCCGGCGAAAGCCGGAUUAAUACUGCAUACGAUUUACGGAUGAAAGCGGGGGACCUUCGGGCCUCGCGCUAUAGGGUUGGCCGAUGGCGGAUUAGCUAGUUGGUGGGGUAAAGGCCUACCAAGGCGACGAUCAGUAGCUGGUCUGAGAGGACGACCAGCCACACUGGAACUGAGACACGGCCCAGACUCCUACGGGAGGCAGCAGUGGGGAAUUUUGGACAAUGGGCGAAAGCCUGAUCCAGCAAUGCCGCGUGUGUGAAGAAGGCCUUCGGGUUGUAAAGCACUUUUGUCCGGAAAGAAAACCUUGGCCCUAAUACGGUCGGGGGAUGACGGUACCGAAAGAAUAAGCACCGGCUAACUACGUG
Molecule: ribosomal RNA, 486 nt
Filed under: uncultured bacterium
Lineage: Bacteria
Description: partial 16S ribosomal RNA
Rfam family: Bacterial small subunit ribosomal RNA
Source: RNAcentral